AUUUCCGUAGGUGAACCUGCGGAAGGAUCAUUAUUGAAAACAAGGGUGUCCAAUUUAACUUGGAACCCAAACUUCUCAAUUCUAACUUUGUGCAUCUGUAUUAAUGGCGAGCAACUUCGGUUGUGAGCCUUCACUUACAAAACACUAGUCUAUGAAUGUAAAAUUUUUAUAACAAAUAAAAACUUUCAACAACGGAUCUCUUGGCUCUCGCAUCGAUGAAGAACGCAGCGAAAUGCGAUACGUAAUGUGAAUUGCAGAAUUCAGUGAAUCAUCGAAUCUUUGAACGCAUCUUGCGCUCUCUGGUAUUCCGGAGAGCAUGUCUGUUUGAGUGUCAUGAAUUCUUCAACCCAAUCUUUUCUUGUAAUCGAUUGGUGUUUGGAUUCUGAGCGUUGCUGGCGUUUGCCUAGCUCGUUCGUAAUACAUUAGCAUCCCUAAUACAAGUUUGGAUUGACUUGGCGUAAUAGACUAUUCGCUAAGGAUUCGGUGGAAACAUCGAGCCAACUUCAUUAAGGAAGCUCCUAAUUUAAAAGUCUACCUUUUGAUUAGAUCUCAAAUCAGGCAGGAUUACCCGCUGAACUUAAGCAUAUCAAUAAGCGGAGGAAAU
Molecule: ribosomal RNA, 604 nt
Filed under: Sporobolomyces pararoseus
Lineage: Eukaryota; Fungi; Basidiomycota; Microbotryomycetes; Sporidiobolales; Sporidiobolaceae
Description: eukaryotic LSU rRNA
Rfam family: 5.8S ribosomal RNA (bases 181-334)
Source: RNAcentral